RNAcentral lists this unclassified non-coding RNA (339 nucleotides) under soil metagenome. RNAcentral describes it as "partial contains 5.8S ribosomal RNA, internal transcribed spacer 2, and large subunit ribosomal RNA". The stretch from base 1 to 120 matches the Rfam family "5.8S ribosomal RNA", at positions 35 to 154 of the family's 154-position model. The record is from RNAcentral.
GAUGAAGAACGUAGCGAAAUACGAUACGUAGUGUGAAUUGCAGAAUUCAGUGAAUCAUCGAAUCUUUGAACGCACAUUGCACCUCUCGGUAUUCCGGGAGGUAUGCCUGUUCGAGCGUCAUUUGUACCCUCAAGCUCUGCUUGGUGUUGGGUGUUUGUUCCGCCUCUGUGUGUGAACUCGCCUCAAAACAAUUGGCAGCCGGCGUACUUGUUUCGGAGCGCAGCACAUUUUGCGAUCCAGAUCAACGUACAGCGGCAUCCAAGAAGCCUUAUUUAACGCUCUUGACCUCGGAUCAGGUAGGGAUACCCGCUGAACUUAAGCAUAUCAAUAAGCGGAGGA